This 254-nucleotide ribosomal RNA is filed under the name uncultured bacterium. Its description in RNAcentral is "partial 16S ribosomal RNA". It matches the Rfam family "Bacterial small subunit ribosomal RNA", at positions 524 to 776 of the family's 1533-position model. The record is from RNAcentral.
UACGUAGGGUGCGAGCGUUGUCCGGAAUUAUUGGGCGUAAAGAGCUCGUAGGCGGUGUGUCACGUCGGCCGUGAAAACCUGCAGUUUAACUGUGGGCGUGCGGUCGAUACGGGCAUCACUGGAGUUCGGCAGGGGAGACUGGAAUUCCUGGUGUAGCGGUGAAAUGCGCAGAUAUCAGGAGGAACACCGGUGGCGAAGGCGGGUCCCUGGAAAACUCCUGACACUGAGGCACGAAAGCUAGGGGAGCAAACAGG